This is a non-coding RNA of Aethalodelphis obliquidens (Pacific white-sided dolphin), 932 nucleotides long. NCBI's taxonomy places the organism in Eukaryota, Metazoa, Chordata, Mammalia, Artiodactyla, Delphinidae. The record is from the annotation of a RefSeq genome assembly.
AUCCCUGGUCCAGGCUCAGACUCAGCAACAGAGCCUGACCCUGGGUCCUGCUUUACACUAGAAUAUGAGGCAUUUGACAAGAGUGACUGUGCUCCUGAUCUUGGGUGUCAGUCUUGGAGAGAAGAUGGAGCAGAGCCCUUCUACCCUGACUGUCCAGGAGGGAAACAGCUCUGUUAUCACCUGUACUUAUACAGACUCUGCUUUAGACUACUUCCUUUGGUAUAAGAAAGAACCUGGAAAAGGUCCCCAGCUCCUUAUAGAUAUUCGUUCAAAUAAGAACAAAAAAGAACACCAAAGAUGGAGUGUUUUAUUGAAUGACAAGGCCAAACGUCUCUCCCUGCACAUCUCAGACACCCAGCCUGGAGACUCAGCUGUCUACUUCUGUGCAGCAAGUACACAGUGCUUCCCAGGCACCUGCUACCUGUACUCAGAGCUGCGACUGGGGCAGCCUCCUUCCUUUGGCACAGACUUUCGUGUAUAGCAUUUGUCAUAUUGUUUGUCUGCAAGUGGAAACUAAUGUAUUAGACAUGAAAUGCAUAGAGUAAGAUUAGGUUCAAGAUGACCCAGAAAGUGUUAUACAUUUUUGUGGAUAACUGUUGCUUACUGAAUUCUUGAAGGGAGUUAGUAAUAUUUUAUUUCAAAAUUGUAAGAUUGAUGUUACAUUGCUAUUCAGACUCUUCUUCUCUAAAUAACUCCCUGGUAUCAAUAUCACAAUCCUUAUUGGGAAUAGAUUUUUAAAUACUGUGUUUUGAAAACAGCAUUUAUUAUUUUUCUGAUUACACAACGUUACAUGCCGGUUAUAGGAAAUGUGUGAUAUUCAAUAAUAUGAUAUUGACAAUUCUGUAAUCACAUAAUAUUGCUAAUAUUCAGUUUACCCUUUUUUAUAAAUUCUUAUUAUAAAUAGGCUCAUGAUUUUUUCACUUACCAUUACA